This 301-nucleotide ribosomal RNA is filed under the name uncultured bacterium. RNAcentral describes it as "bacterial SSU rRNA". It matches the Rfam family "Bacterial small subunit ribosomal RNA", at positions 505 to 806 of the family's 1533-position model. The record is from RNAcentral.
GUGCCAGCGCCGCGGUAAUACAGAGGGUGCGAGCGUUAAUCGGAUUUACUGGGCGUAAAGCGUGCGUAGGCGGCUUUUUAAGUCGGAUGUGAAAUCCCUGAGCUUAACUUAGGAAUUGCAUUCGAUACUGGGAAGCUAGAGUAUGGGAGAGGAUGGUAGAAUUCCAGGUGUAGCGGUGAAAUGCGUAGAGAUCUGGAGGAAUACCGAUGGCGAAGGCAGCCAUCUGGCCUAAUACUGACGCUGAGGUACGAAAGCAUGGGGAGCAAACAGGAUUAGAUACCCUGGUAGUCCAUGCCGUAAA